This 561-nucleotide ribosomal RNA is filed under the name uncultured bacterium. Its description in RNAcentral is "bacterial SSU rRNA". It matches the Rfam family "Bacterial small subunit ribosomal RNA", at positions 97 to 673 of the family's 1533-position model. The record is from RNAcentral.
GGCGAACGGGUGAGUAACGCGUUGGUGACCUGCCCCGGAGAGAGGGAUAACAGGCCGAAAGGCUUGCUAAUACCACAUGCGCAGUUGGGAGAUUAGAAACUUGACUGCAAAGGAGAAAUCCGCUCUGGGAGGGGCCUGCGACCCAUCAGCUAGUUGGUAAGGUAACGGCCUACCAAGGCGAUGACGGGUAGGGGACCUGAGAGGGUGGCCCCCCACAAUGGGACUGAAACACGGUCCAUACACCUACGGGUGGCAGCAGUAGGGAAUAUUGCUUAAUGGGCGAAAGCCUGAAGCAGCAACGCCGCGUGUGCGAUGAAGGCCUUCGGGUUGUAAAGCACUUUUGACUGGGAAGAGGAAGGACGGUACCGGUCGAAUAAGCCUCGGCUAACUACGUGCCAGCAGCCGCGGUAAAACGUAGGAGGCGAGCGUUAUCCGGAUUUACUGGGUGUAAAGCGCGUGCAGGCGGUUGGUUAAGUUGGGUGUGAAAGCUCCUGGCUCAACUGGGAGAGGUCGCUCAAGACUGGCCAACUGGAGAGCAGUAAGGGAAGGUGGAAUUCCGGG